UUUCUAGGCAGAGUUCUCUUACAUCU
This 26-nucleotide non-coding RNA is filed under the name Mus musculus (house mouse). Lineage: Eukaryota; Metazoa; Chordata; Mammalia; Rodentia; Muridae. The record is from RNAcentral.